GAUGAACGCUGGCGGCGUGCCUAAUACAUGCAAGUCGAGCGAACGGACGAGAAGCUUGCUUCUCUGAUGUUAGCGGCGGACGGGUGAGUAACACGUGGAUAACCUACCUAUAAGACUGGGAUAACUUCGGGAAACCGGAGCUAAUACCGGAUAAUAUUUUGAACCGCAUGGUUCAAAAGUGAAAGACGGUCUUGCUGUCACUUAUAGAUGGAUCCGCGCUGCAUUAGCUAGUUGGUAAGGUAACGGCUUACCAAGGCAACGAUGCAUAGCCGACCUGAGAGGGUGAUCGGCCACACUGGAACUGAGACACGGUCCAGACUCCUACGGGAGGCAGAAGUAGGGAAUCUUCGGCAAUGGGCGAAAGCCUGACGGAGCAACGCCGCGUGAGUGAUGAAGGUCUUCGGAUCGUAAAACUCUGUUAUUAGGGAAAAACAUAUGUGUAAGUAACUGUGCACAACUUGACGGUACCUAAUCAGAAAGCCACGGCUAACUACGUG
RNAcentral lists this ribosomal RNA (497 nucleotides) under uncultured bacterium. RNAcentral's name for it is "partial 16S ribosomal RNA". It matches the Rfam family "Bacterial small subunit ribosomal RNA", at positions 28 to 507 of the family's 1533-position model. The record is from RNAcentral.